This 400-nucleotide ribosomal RNA is filed under the name uncultured bacterium. RNAcentral's name for it is "bacterial SSU rRNA". It matches the Rfam family "Bacterial small subunit ribosomal RNA", at positions 358 to 772 of the family's 1533-position model. The record is from RNAcentral.
GGAAUUUUCUGCAAUGGGCGCAAGCCUGACAGAGCAACGCCGCGUGGGGGAUGACGCAUCUCGGUGUGUAAACCCCUUUUCCCUGGGACGAAGCGAAUGACGGUACCAGGGGAAGAAGGACCGGCUAACUACGUGCCAGCAGCCGCGGUAACACGUAGGGUCCGAGCGUUGUCCGGAAUUACUGGGCGUAAAGCGCGCGCAGGCGGUCCAUUCAGUCGCUGGUGAAAGCCCCACGCUCAACGUGGGAAUGGCCAGCGAGACGGGUGGACUGGAGGCAGGGAGAGGUCGGUGGAAUUCCGGGUGUAGUGGUGAAAUGCGUAGAGAUCCGGAGGAACACCAGAGGCGAAGGCGGCCGACUGGACCUGACCUGACGCUGAGGCGCGAAGGCGUGGGGAGCGAA